RNAcentral lists this long non-coding RNA (1766 nucleotides) under Capsicum annuum. Its description in RNAcentral is "long non-coding RNA (CANN_LNC007157)". Lineage: Eukaryota; Viridiplantae; Streptophyta; Magnoliopsida; Solanales; Solanaceae. The record is from RNAcentral.
GGGAAUACACCGAAGCAAAAUGAGAUUUUCCAUUUUUAGAGGGGGGACUACAACACCACAAUAAGAAUAGAGAAACAACCAUCAUCUUCUCCAGGAGAAAAACUCCAUUUUUUUCUUUAUAUACACACUUCACACAUCAUCACAGAGGAAACCCAUCACCCAUAACAAAAAGGGAAUCCUCCAUUUGUUUCAAUGUACACAGAUUGACACGACAACAAUUUCAAACACACAGCAAAUCGACACAACACCAGCAGUAACAGUAUUACCAUUCUUACUGCUAAACAGAGACCCAAAUUUCCUUUGAACGCAAUCUAUACGCACUCACCGAGCAUACACACACUUCCAUCAGAUACACACAUAUACGAAUGAGAGAGAUCCUGAGAGAGAGGACAGAGAGAAGAGAAUAAGUAAGCGAGAAAGCUGAUCGGAGAAGUGACGAGAAAAAGAAAAAACUGAUCGGAAAAUAGUGAAACACCGGCGAGAAACAGACCUGUUCGUGUAAAGUUUGGUGUGGGUCAUUCUCUCUUAGCAAUUUUAGUUCGAAUUAGCAAAAAAUAGGAUUGGGUUGGAUAGCUGGGUUUUUCGAUUGGCGAGUUUUCUUGUGGAGGUUGAUUCGAGGUUUCGGACACGGAUCCUAUCUUUUUGAUCGAGUGAUACUUGAUUAUGAUAAUCAAUUGAGGUCCGAUUCUACUCCUUCACUUUUUUAUUUUUUUAUCUAUCGUAUUCGAUGCAUUGAAUUGAGUGUCAUUGCUUGAUAUUUGGUGGUGAUGAAUCAUUGUUUUUUUUGAUUUGUGGUUGGGUCCCUUGAUUAUGACUUGUAUAGUGAAAUGGUAUGUCGUUUGAGAAUUAAAAUGGGUUGUUUGAGGCGGAAUUGAAAUUGAUAAAAGUGAAAGUGUAUUUAUUUUGAUUCAUUGUUAGAGAUUUAAUUCAAAAUAAAUAUGGAUGUUGUUAAACGCAACAGUAUCAUGAUAGAGUAAAAUUCAUAGGCAAACGGUAGGUUGGGUAAGCAAAUUUUUAGAAAUUGUGGAAUAUUGAAUGCUUGAAACAUGUGUUGAAUGACUUAGUUUUAUUUCUUUUGAAUCAAAUAUAUCAGUGGCCGGGAAAUGCCCUGAGGUAUUUGUGUUUAUUCGACAGGAUUUCACCGAGGUAUUUUGUAGCCGGAGGAUGUUAGUGACAAAGGCCCGAGGCAUCGGGUGGAGCUUAGUCUAGGAUUAGUUUAGAAUAGGAUUUAUACUUUUUGCAUUUUUCUAUUUUGGACUGUAUAAUUAGAUUGGACACUAUAUUUUGGAUUGUUUUGUUUUGUUUGUUUGACUAAUUGUUUUACAUAUUUUUUGUGUGGUUUAUACAUUCAUCGUGCCAAAAUAGACGAUACAUUCCACAAAGAGACCGUGGCCAAACCACAGGAUCAGGGGGUUCCUAACACCUUCCCCUCGGUCAACAGAAUUCAUUAUCCGGAAUAUCUGUUCGCAGAUCAGUUUUAGAGUCAAACUAUUUUGAAAAAGGAUUUCCAAAGGUGACUUGACACACCCGAUUUAUGUCUAGUGGGGACUCUGAGUUAAUUGUAAAAUGAAUUUUUUUUGAAAUAAAUUUUUCAUUUUUGUCACUUUAAUAAUAAAAACCCUUUCAAACUUUAAAAUUAAUCUUUUUGGUUAAAAGGAGGUGUGAUAGCACUGGCGACUCUGCUGGAGAUUUUUCAGAAUUCAAGCUUAUUUUUGGAGUUGUACUGGCUUAGUUUGACACUAUGGAUGUAUAGACAUUUUGUUUGU